This 446-nucleotide ribosomal RNA is filed under the name uncultured bacterium. RNAcentral describes it as "bacterial SSU rRNA". It matches the Rfam family "Bacterial small subunit ribosomal RNA", at positions 29 to 506 of the family's 1533-position model. The record is from RNAcentral.
ACGAACGCUGGCGGCAUGCUUAACACAUGCAAGUUGAACGCAGAAUAGAGCUUCGGUUCUAUUGCUGAGUAGCAAACGGGUGAGUAACGCGUGGGAAUCUACCUUUUUGUGGGGGAUAACUGAGGGAAACUUCAGCUAAUACCGCAUAAGCUCUACGGAGGAAAGGCUUCGGCCGCAAGAAGAGGAGCCCGCGUCAGAUUAGGUAGUUGGUGGGGUAAAAGCCUACCAAGCCAAUGAUCUGUAGCUGGUCUGAGAGGAUGAUCAGCCACACUGGGACUGAGACACGGCCCAGACUCCUACGGGAGGCAGCAGUGGGGAAUAUUGGACAAUGGGGGAAACCCUGAUCCAGCAAUGCCGCGUGAAUGAAGAAGGCCUUAGGGUUGUAAAGUUCUUUCACCUGUGACGAUAAUGACGGUAGCAGGAUAAGAAGCCCCGGCUAACUCCGU